This 75-nucleotide transfer RNA is filed under the name Sphingorhabdus rigui. RNAcentral's name for it is "tRNA-Val". It matches the Rfam family "tRNA". From Rfam's summary of the family: Transfer RNA (tRNA) molecules are approximately 80 nucleotides in length. Their secondary structure includes four short double-helical elements and three loops (D, anti-codon, and T loops). The record is from RNAcentral. RNAcentral also lists the same sequence under 7 other names. Lineage: Bacteria; Pseudomonadati; Pseudomonadota; Alphaproteobacteria; Sphingomonadales; Sphingorhabdaceae.
GGGCGUAUAGCUCAGCGGUAGAGCACUGCAUUGACAUUGCAGGGGUCGCAAGUUCAAACCUUGCUACGCCCACCA